This 483-nucleotide ribosomal RNA is filed under the name uncultured bacterium. Its description in RNAcentral is "partial 16S ribosomal RNA". It matches the Rfam family "Bacterial small subunit ribosomal RNA", at positions 30 to 507 of the family's 1533-position model. The record is from RNAcentral.
UUGAACGCUGGCGGCAGGCCUAACACAUGCAAGUCGAGCGGAUGAAGGGAGCUUGCUCCUGGAUUCAGCGGCGGACGGGUGAGUAAUGCCUAGGAAUCUGCCUGGUAGUGGGGGAUAACGUCCGGAAACGGGCGCUAAUACCGCAUACGUCCUGAGGGAGAAAGUGGGGGAUCUUCGGACCUCACGCUAUCAGAUGAGCCUAGGUCGGAUUAGCUAGUUGGUGGGGUAAAGGCCUACCAAGGCGACGAUCCGUAACUGGUCUGAGAGGAUGAUCAGUCACACUGGAACUGAGACACGGUCCAGACUCCUACGGGAGGCCGCAGUGGGGAAUAUUGGACAAUGGGCGAAAGCCUGAUCCAGCCAUGCCGCGUGUGUGAAGAAGGUCUUCGGAUUGUAAAGCACUUUAAGUUGGGAGGAAGGGCAGUAAGUUAAUACCUUGCUGUUUUGACGUUACCAACAGAAUAAGCACCGGCUAACUUCGUG